CGGCGGCGACCGGCGCACGGGUGCGUAACAGGUGUGCAAUCUGUCCAUAAUCGGGGAAUAGCCCAGCGAAAGUUGGAUUAAUGCUCCAUGUGAGCUUGAGAGGCAUCUCUCGGGUUUGAAACGUAAGGAUUAUGGGUGAGCACGCUUCUGAUUAGGUAGUUGGUGAGGUAACGGCUCACCAAGCCGACGAUCAGUAGGGGUUCUGAGAGGAAGGUCCCCCACAUUGGAACUGAGACACGGUCCAAACUCCUACGGGAGGCAGCAGUGAGGAAUAUUGGUCAAUGGGCGAAAGCCUGAACCAGCCAAGUCGCGUGAAGGAUGAAGGUUCUAUGGAUUGUAAACUUCUUUUGUCUGAGGGUAAAAAAGCGGACGUGUCCGUUCUUGCAAGUAUCAGACGAAUAAGCAUCGGCUAACUCCGUGCCAGCAGCCGCGGUAAUACGGAGGAUGCGAGCGUUAUCCGGAUUUAUUGGGUUUAAAGGGUGCGUAGGCGGGUUGCUAAGUCAGUGGUAAAAGCGUGUGGCUCAACCAUACCAAGCCAUUGAAACUGGUGAUCUUGAGUGUAAACGAGGUAGGCGGAAUGUGACGUGUAGCGGUGAAAUGCUUAGAUAUGUCACAGAACCCCGAUUGCGAAGGCAGCUUACCAGCAUACAACUGACGCUGAGGCACGAAAGCGUGGGUAUCAAACAGGAUUAGAUACCCU
This 700-nucleotide ribosomal RNA is filed under the name uncultured bacterium. Its description in RNAcentral is "bacterial SSU rRNA". It matches the Rfam family "Bacterial small subunit ribosomal RNA", at positions 86 to 788 of the family's 1533-position model. The record is from RNAcentral.